ACGGCAGCACGGACUUCGGUCUGGUGGCGAGUGGCGAACGGGUGAGUAAUGUAUCGGAACGUGCCCAGUAGCGGGGGAUAACUACGCGAAAGCGUAGCUAAUACCGCAUACGCCCUACGGGGGAAAGCAGGGGAUCGCAAGACCUUGCACUAUUGGAGCGGCCGAUAUCGGAUUAGCUAGUUGGUGGGGUAACGGCUCACCAAGGCGACGAUCCGUAGCUGGUUUGAGAGGACGACCAGCCACACUGGGACUGAGACACGGCCCAGACUCCUACGGGAGGCAGCAGUGGGGAAUUUUGGACAAUGGGGGAAACCCUGAUCCAGCCAUCCCGCGUGUGCGAUGAAGGCCUUCGGGUUGUAAAGCACUUUUGGCAGGAAAGAAACGUCAUGGGUUAAUACCCCGUGAAACUGACGGUACCUGCAGAAUAAGCACCGGCUAACUACGUGCCAGCAGCCGCGGUAAUACGUAGGGUGCAAGCGUUAAUCGGAAUUACUGGGCGUAAAGCGUGCGCAGGCGGUUCGGAAAGAAAGAUGUGAAAUCCCAGAGCUUAACUUUGGAACUGCAUUUUUAACUACCGGGCUAGAGUGUGUCAGAGGGAGGUGGAAUUCCGCGUGUAGCAGUGAAAUGCGUAGAUAUGCGG
RNAcentral lists this ribosomal RNA (640 nucleotides) under uncultured bacterium. RNAcentral's name for it is "bacterial SSU rRNA". It matches the Rfam family "Bacterial small subunit ribosomal RNA", at positions 66 to 701 of the family's 1533-position model. The record is from RNAcentral.